This 1579-nucleotide long non-coding RNA is filed under the name Homo sapiens (human). Lineage: Eukaryota; Metazoa; Chordata; Mammalia; Primates; Hominidae. The record is from RNAcentral.
UGGCAGAAAGCCUCAGUUCCUUGAAAAUGUGGACUUCUCUGCAGGCCUUCUGGAGUGUCCUCCUGACAGCAACUGGCCUUUCCCAGAGAGAGUGAUCCAACAGAGAGAGCAAGUAGGAUAUAGCUGCGCCUUUCAUGACAGCCUCAGAAGCCACAAAUCACCGUGUCUGCUAUGUUUUAUUCAUCAGAAGUGAGUCGCUGAGUCCAACCAUAUUCACAGGGAGGCAAAGUAAGCUCUACCUCUUAAAGGAAAGGAGUAUCCAAGAAUUUGUGGAUAUAUUUUAAAACGGCCACAACUUGUUUUGUGACCUAUCAUAUGAUCUGUCUUGGAGAAUGUUCCAUGUACUGAUGAAAAGAAUGUACAUUCCGGAGGAGCCAAGAUAGGCGAAUAGGAACAGCUCCGGUCUACAGCUCCCAGCGCGAGUGACGCAGAAGACGGGUGGUUUCUGCAUUUCCAUCUGAGGUACCGGGUUCAUCUCACUAGGGAGUGCCAGACAGUGGGCACAGGACCUCAGAUGGACAGAAUUCAACUCAUCACAUUUCUUGGUUCUUGACACGCUCUCCUCGUUAGUCCAUCACAUAUUGCACGGAUUCAUUCAUAUCGCUGCAUGUAGGCUGCUUUGACCUGCUGUAGAAUAUCUCAUUGUGUGGAUGCACAUGUGGAUCACUGAGUAUGUCAGAGCUGGCAAGAUACGUCAGAAGAGAAAGGAGAAACUCUUAACUAAAUAGAGUUGGAAAUAAAAUAAUUGUCUGUAUGGAAUAAGAUCAAAGGUCCCACAUGUUAAAGUCAACCCCAGAUGAAUUAAAGUCUUACAUGUCAAAAAAAAUUGAAACUUUUAGAAGAAAAUUAAGGUGGAUAUAUUUUAGACCUUAAGGUAGAGAAAGAUUUCUUAAAGAAGACACUUACAGGAUUGAUUACAAACAAAAAGACUGGUACAUUUGAAUGUAUUAUGUUAAGAACUUUUCCACCAAAAGAAAGCCUCGAUUUCCUCAUUUUUAAGAUGAGGAUAAUAAUCCCUACCUUAUAGAAUUCUAAUAAGAUGAAAUGAAGCAACAUAUACAAAAUACUUAGCACAGAUCCUAACACCUACAAAAUAAUAAAUGGUAACGAUUAUUAUUCUUCUCAAACAACAAUCCUAUUAUUUAUCAAAUAAUACUGAGUAAUAUGACAAGACAUAUUUAAACCACACAAGCCAUAUGCAGACAAGUGUUUAAUAUCAUAGUGAUAGUUUCAAGAGAGAGAUAAUAAUUUAUUCUACAUUUAUCAGAGGUCUAUAGCCCAGUAGUCAAUAAAUACUUAUCUAUAGUCAAUAAGUACUAUCAAGCAUCCAUGCCAGGAACCAUGCUAGGGGCUGAUUAAUUUACAUCAAUCACCAUGACUUUUUUCCCACAAACUAACACACACACAAUCUUCAUAGAUUUUUCUGUGAUCACAGCAAGGAAAAGACCUACGCAUGUUUGGAUCAUCUGUGUACAGUCCUACAGAAGAACUUUGACACUAUCAGAGACAGAAAUCUCAGAAUAGUCCAACUCUCACUUAUUUGUGCUAAUGAAAGAGUAAAGUAAAAGAGACAAUUAAA